CCUACGGGGUGCAGCAGUGGGGAAUAUUGGACAAUGGGCGAAAGCCUGAUCCAGCCAUGCCGCGUGUGUGAAGAAGGCCUUCGGGUUGUAAAGCACUUUCAGUGGGGAAGAAAGCCUUGGGGUUAAUACCCUCGAGGAAGGACAUCACCCACAGAAGAAGCACCGGCUAACUCCGUGCCAGCAGCCGCGGUAAUACGGAGGGUGCGAGCGUUAAUCGGAAUUACUGGGCGUAAAGCGCGCGUAGGCGGUCUGAUAAGCCGGUUGUGAAAGCCCCGGGCUCAACCUGGGAACGGCAUCCGGAACUGUCAGGCUAGAGUGCAGGAGAGGAAGGUAGAAUUCCCGGUGUAGCGGUGAAAUGCGUAGAGAUCGGGAGGAAUACCAGUGGCGAAGGCGGCCUUCUGGACUGACACUGACGCUGAGGUGCGAAAGCGUGGGUAGCAAACAGGAUUAGAUACCCCGGUAGUC
This 465-nucleotide ribosomal RNA is filed under the name Vreelandella stevensii. RNAcentral describes it as "partial 16S ribosomal RNA". It matches the Rfam family "Bacterial small subunit ribosomal RNA", at positions 338 to 795 of the family's 1533-position model. Lineage: Bacteria; Pseudomonadati; Pseudomonadota; Gammaproteobacteria; Oceanospirillales; Halomonadaceae. The record is from RNAcentral.